AGCAGAGUGGCUUAGUGGAAAGAGCCUGGGCUUGGGAGUCAGAGGUUGAGGAUUCUAAUCCUGCUUCUGUUA
Molecule: transfer RNA, 72 nt
Filed under: Ornithorhynchus anatinus (platypus)
Lineage: Eukaryota; Metazoa; Chordata; Mammalia; Monotremata; Ornithorhynchidae
Rfam family: tRNA
About the family: Transfer RNA (tRNA) molecules are approximately 80 nucleotides in length.
Source: Rfam by way of RNAcentral